UGCCUGUUUACCAAAAACAUCACCUCUAGCAUUUCCAGUAUUAGAGGCACUGCCUGCCCAGUGACAUCAGUUAAACGGCCGCGGUAUCCUGACCGUGCAAAGGUAGCAUAAUCAUUUGUUCCUUAAAUAGGGACUUGUAUGAAUGGCCACACGAGGGCUUUACUGUCUCUUACUUCCAAUCCGUGAAAUUGACCUUCCCGUGAAGAGGCGGGAAUAUGACAAUAAGACGAGAAGACCCUAUGGAGCUUUAAUUAACCGACCCAAAGAGAUCUUGAUAAUCAACCGACAGGGAUAACAUACCUCUACCAUGGGCCGACAAUUUAGGUUGGGGUGACCUCGGAGAAUAAAACAACCUCCGAGUGAUUUAAAUCUAGACUAACUAGUCGAAAGUACUACAUCACUUAUUGAUCCAAAAACUUGAUCAACGGAACAAGUUACCCUAGGGAUAACAGCGCAAUCCUAUUUUAGAGUCCAUAUCGACAAUAGGAUUG
This 491-nucleotide ribosomal RNA is filed under the name Panthera onca (jaguar). RNAcentral's name for it is "partial 16S ribosomal RNA". It matches the Rfam family "Bacterial large subunit ribosomal RNA", at positions 1797 to 2520 of the family's 2925-position model. The record is from RNAcentral. Lineage: Eukaryota; Metazoa; Chordata; Mammalia; Carnivora; Felidae.